RNAcentral lists this ribosomal RNA (354 nucleotides) under uncultured Glomeraceae. RNAcentral describes it as "SSU rRNA". It matches the Rfam family "Eukaryotic small subunit ribosomal RNA", at positions 569 to 927 of the family's 1831-position model. The record is from RNAcentral. Lineage: Eukaryota; Fungi; Glomeromycota; Glomeromycetes; Glomerales; Glomeraceae.
AGCAGCCGCGGUAAUUCCAGCUCCAAUAGCGUAUAUUAAAGUUGUUACAGUUAAAAAGCUCGUAGUUGAAUUUCGGGGUCAGUAGGCUGGUCGUGCCCCCGGUACGUACUGGUCUAACUGAUCCCUCCUUCCUGAAGAACCGUAAUGCCAUUAAUUUGGUGUUGCGGGGAAACAGGACUGUUACUUUGAAAAAAUUAGAGUGUUUAAAGCAAGCUAACGCUUGAAUACAUUAGCAUGGAAUAAUGAAAUAGGACGAUCGAUCCUAUUUUGUUGGUUUCUAGGAUUGACGUAAUGAUGAAUAGGGAUAGUUGGGGGCAUUAGUAUUCAAUUGUCAGAGGUGAAAUUCUUGGAUUU